UGGGGAAUAUUGCGCAAUGGGCGAAAGCCUGACGCAGCGACGCCGCGUGAGGGAAGAAGGCCUUCGGGUCGUAAACCUCUGUCUAGAGGGAAGAAACCAUUGAGGUCGAACAGGCCUCUUUGCUGACGGUACCUCUGAAGGAAGCACCGGCUAACUCCGUGCCAGCAGCCGCGGUAAUACGGAGGGUGCGAGCGUUAAUCGGAAUCACUGGGCGUAAAGCGCUCGUAGGCUGUUUGGUAAGUCAGACGUGAAAUCCCGCGGCUUAACCGCGGAACUGCGUUUGAUACUGCCAGACUUGAGUGUCGGAGAGGGUGGCGGAAUUCCGGGUGUAGGAGUGAAAUCCGUAGAUAUCCGGAGGAACACCAGUGGCGAAGGCGGCCACCUGGACGACAACUGACGCUGAGGAGCGAAAGCGUGGGGAGCAAACA
RNAcentral lists this ribosomal RNA (428 nucleotides) under uncultured prokaryote. RNAcentral's name for it is "bacterial SSU rRNA". It matches the Rfam family "Bacterial small subunit ribosomal RNA", at positions 355 to 774 of the family's 1533-position model. The record is from RNAcentral.